This 301-nucleotide ribosomal RNA is filed under the name uncultured bacterium. Its description in RNAcentral is "partial 16S ribosomal RNA". It matches the Rfam family "Bacterial small subunit ribosomal RNA", at positions 509 to 809 of the family's 1533-position model. The record is from RNAcentral.
CAGUAGCCGCGGGAAUACGUAGGGUACAAGCGUUGUCCGGAAUUAUUGGGCGUAAAGAGCUCGUAGGUGGUUGGUCACGUCUGCUGUGGAAACGCAACGCUUAACGUUGCGCGUGCAGUGGGUACGGGCUGACUAGAGUGCAGUAGAGGAGUCUGGAAUUCCUGGUGUAGCGGUGAAAUGCGCAGAUAUCAGGAGGAACACCGGUGGCGAAGGCGGGACUCUGGGCUGUAACUGACACUGAGGAGCGAAAGCAUGGGGAGCGAACAGGAUUAGAUACCCCCGUAGUCCCUGUCUCUUAUAA